This 325-nucleotide ribosomal RNA is filed under the name uncultured eukaryote. Its description in RNAcentral is "partial 18S ribosomal RNA". It matches the Rfam family "Eukaryotic small subunit ribosomal RNA", at positions 1470 to 1796 of the family's 1831-position model. The record is from RNAcentral.
CCCUUAGAUGUCCUGGGCCGCACGCGCGCUACACUGAUGCAUUCAACGAGUUUUACCUUGGCCGAGAGGCCUGGGCAAUCUUUUAAACCUGCAUCGUGAUAGGGAUAGAUUAUUGCAAUUAUUAAUCUUGAAUGAGGAAUUCCUAGUAAACGCAAAUCAUCAAUUUGCAUUGAUUACGUCCCUGCCCUUUGUACACACCGCCCGUCGCACCUACCGAUUGAAUGGUCCGGUGAAGCCUCGGGAUUGUGGCCAGUUCACUUUAUUGGGAGUUGGCUGUGAGAACUUGUCUAAACCUUAUCAUUUAGAGGAAGGUGAAGUCGUAACA